GAGUGAACGCUGGCGGUAGGCCUAACACAUGCAAGUCGAACAGCAGCACAGUAAGAGCUUGCUCUUACGGGUGGCGAGUGGCGGACGGGUGAGGAAUACAUCGGAAUCUACUUUUUCGUGGGGGAUAACGUAGGGAAACUUACGCUAAUACCGCAUACGACCUACGGGUGAAAGCAGGGGAUCUUCGGACCUUGCGCGAUUGAAUGAGCCGAUGUCGGAUUAGCUAGUUGGCGGGGUAAAGGCCCACCAAGGCGACGAUCCGUAGCUGGUCUGAGAGGAUGAUCAGCCACACUGGAACUGAGACACGGUCCAGACUCCUACGGGAGGCAGCAGUGGGGAAUAUUGGACAAUGGGCGCAAGCCUGAUCCAGCCAUACCGCGUGGGUGAAGAAGGCCUUCGGGUUGUAAAGCCCUUUUGUUGGGAAAGAAAAGCAGCAGGUUAAUACCCCGCUGUUCUGACGGUACCCAAAGAAUAAGCACCGGCUAACUUCGUG
Molecule: ribosomal RNA, 493 nt
Filed under: uncultured bacterium
Lineage: Bacteria
Description: partial 16S ribosomal RNA
Rfam family: Bacterial small subunit ribosomal RNA
Source: RNAcentral